Molecule: ribosomal RNA, 301 nt
Filed under: uncultured bacterium
Lineage: Bacteria
Description: partial 16S ribosomal RNA
Rfam family: Bacterial small subunit ribosomal RNA
Source: RNAcentral
AGUCGCCGCGGUAACACGUAUGUCACAAGCGUUAUCCGGAUUUAUUGGGCGUAAAGCGCGUCUAGGUGGUUAUGUAAGUCUGAUGUGAAAAUGCAGGGCUCAACUCUGUAUUGCGUUGGAAACUGUGUAACUAGAGUACUGGAGAGGUAAGCGGAACUACAAGUGUAGAGGUGAAAUUCGUAGAUAUUUGUAGGAAUGCCGAUGGGGAAGCCAGCUUACUGGACAGAUACUGACGCUGAAGCGCGAAAGCGUGGGUAGCAAACAGGAUUAGAUACCCCAGUAGUCCCUGUCUCUUAUACAC